GGUUGAUAGUGUGCAGGACAAGUCUCCCGUAGGUUCCAGUCAAAACACAGUUCUUCUUGAUUCAGGAUCUCCUGUGAACUUUCAGCAGGAAAGAUCUAAAUCCUUAACUGCAGAUGAACCUGGUAAAAUUGAUAGGCAGAUGAAGGAUGCUAAAACCAAUGCUGAACCUGAUUUAGACCAGAAGCAGCUUCCAGAACAUAGAACUGUUAAUCCAGGCGAGAAGCAGCUUCCGGAACGUAAAACUGUUAAGUCAUCCAUGAAAGAACAAGAGCAACUUGAAGAGGCUCAGGGAUUGCUUAAGAAUGCAACUUCUACCGGUCAGUCCAAAGAAGCACGGUUAGCCCGUGUUUGUGCUGGACUUUCAUCACGUCUUCAGGAGUAUAAAUCUGAAAAUGCUCAGCUAGAGGAGCUUCUUGUAGCUGAGAGGGAAUUGAGUAAAUCUUGCGAGGCUCGGAUAAAGCAGCUUCAGAAAGAUUUAU
RNAcentral lists this unclassified non-coding RNA (479 nucleotides) under Hevea brasiliensis (rubber tree). Lineage: Eukaryota; Viridiplantae; Streptophyta; Magnoliopsida; Malpighiales; Euphorbiaceae. The record is from RNAcentral.